Molecule: ribosomal RNA, 927 nt
Filed under: uncultured archaeon
Lineage: Archaea
Description: bacterial SSU rRNA
Rfam family: Archaeal small subunit ribosomal RNA
Source: RNAcentral
UUCCGGUUGAUCCUGCGGACCCUUCUGACUAUGGGGGUCCGACUAAGCCAUGCGAGUCAUGGGGCGUGCUCUGCGCGCACCGGCGGACGGCUCAGUAACACGUCGGUAACCUACCCUCGGGAGGGGGAUAACCCCGGGAAACUGGGCUAAUCCCCCAUAGGCCUGAGGUACUGGAAGGUCCUCAGGCCGAAAGGGGCAUCUGCCCGCCCGAGGAUGGGCCGGCGGCCGAUUAGGUAGUUGGUGGGGUAACGGCCCACCAAGCCGAAGAUCGGUACGGGCCAUGAGAGUGGGAGCCCGGAGAUGGACACUGAGACACGGGUCCAGGCCCUACGGGGCGCAGCAGGCGCGAAACCUCCGCAAUGCGCGAAAGCGCGACGGGGGGAUUCCGAGUGCUGGCUCGUGAGAGUCAGCUGUUCUCGAGCCUAAAACGCUCGAGGAGAAAGGGCUGGGUAAGACGGGUGCCAGCCGCCGCGGUAAUACCCGCAGCUCGAGUGGUGGCCACUAUUAUUGGGCCUAAAACGUCCGUAGCCGGUCUGGUAAAUGCCUGGGUAAAUCGUGAGGCUUAACCUUACGAAUUCCAGGUAGACUGCCAGACUUGGGACCGGGAGAGGCUAGAGGUACUCCAGGGGUAGGGGUGAAAUCCUGUAAUCCCAGGGGGACCGCCAGUGGCGAAGGCGCCCGGCUGGAACGGGUCCGACGGUGAGGGACGAAGGCCAGGGGAGCGAACCGGAUUAGAUACCCGGGUAGUCCUGGCUGUAAAGGAUGCGGGCUAGGUGUCGGGCGAGCUUCGGGCUCGCCCGGUGCCGAAGGGAAGCCGUUAAGCCCGCCGCCUGGGGAGUACGGCCGCAAGGCUGAAACUUAAAGGAAUUGGCGGGGGAGCACUACAAGGGGUAGAGCGUGCGGUUUAAUUGGAGCAACGCCGGAAAU